GCAUGCAUACAUGCGUAGACAUAGAGGUAGAUAAAGAAAACGAGAAGUAAUAUAGAUUCGCACGCACCUGCGUGUAUAUAUAUGUAGAUAGACAAAUACUCAUAUAUUUUGCUUUAUCUAUCUAUCUAUAUAUAUUUAUAUAUACACGCUACAAACAUUUAUACGUACAGGUGAACAUAUGUAAAGUCACAAACUUUCCUGCAUGUAUGUAUAUAUCUAAUUAAAGUAUAAAUAAAUAAAUAAAUAUAUAUAUUAUAUAUCUACACACACAAAUAUAGACAUACGUGCAUACUGUCAAACAUACAUUCAUAUAAACACAUGCCUAUAUAACUAUAUACGUAUAUAUACAUACUCAUACGUUAAUACAGAUACACAUUGAUAUAUACACGCAUUUACUGACAAGCAAUCUUGCAUAUAUAUACAGGCUACUGAAUUCUACGGACAAGGAAAUAUCGGAACGAUUUUGUCAUUGUUUAGCAUAGAAAUUCUCUAAGAAAUUGAAACGCCAGGAAGUGUAAUAUGAUACACCAAAAACAACUAAUGUGUGUAGAUUAACACUAAACUGUGACAGCAACUACACCACCUCUAUGUCCAAUACAACUGUAUACUAAACGACAGAGUAGAUCAACGCACGUA
Long non-coding RNA from Octopus bimaculoides (California two-spot octopus), 636 nucleotides. RefSeq lists it as uncharacterized. The record is from RefSeq and is a predicted model, not a curated record. NCBI's taxonomy places the organism in Eukaryota, Metazoa, Mollusca, Cephalopoda, Octopoda, Octopodidae.